CUGACCUUGUGAUCCACUGGCCUCGACCUCCAAACAUGCUGGGAUUACGGGCGUGAGCCACUGCGCCCGGCUCAAGUGCUACUUUUAAAGCUAAAAGCCACACAUAACAUGCUAGCACACACUGACACACUCUCAUAUCCUUGCUUUAUGGAAGGCAACUCUAAUGAUAGUGCUUGCUAAAUAGAAGUACAGGACAUUUGCUGUGACUGCCAUGAUUUAGAGCCAGACACUGCAAAUUACAUCCUCCAUCUCUCAUGAGUCCUGUUCUUCCUUCCCAGGACUUUGAUCAGAAAGCGCACCCACUGCUGAGUGCUGAAUGCUGAAGAGAUGGCCUUGGCCCUGGCAUUAGGCAUCCUUGGCUUGAAACUCACUUCUGCUGCUUGUCACCUGUGUGAACUUGAGCAGUUCUGGAGGCUGAAAAGUCCAACAUCAAGGCGCCAGCAGAUUCAGUGUCUGAUAGUUGUCGCUUACCAUUGGAAUAACCAGGAAACUUCAAAAGAAGGUGUGAUCUGAGCUUUCCUGAAAGACAGUAUCUGGCAACCACAAAGGACCCAAAGCACACUGCUGACAACUCUUGAGACCCUCUGAGGAAUGAGAAGAGCUACCGUGUCAUGAGGAUAUCUGGGCAGCCAUUGGAGAGAGUUCCAUGGCCAAGGAACUGAGGUCAGCCUGCAAAAACCUGACUAAGUUUGGAUCUUACUGUGAUUUCCAAUUUACUGUGACUGCCAACAGUCACAUGAUGGAGCUUGCAUAUAAAUUCUCCAACCCUAGUUGAGCCUUGAGAUAAGCCCUGGGUGACACCUAACUGCAAUCUCAAGAGUGACUUUCAGCCAGAGAAACGUGUGAGAGUUCUAGUUGCUCCACAUCUUCACCAACACAUGGUGCUGCUGGUGGCUGUGCCCUGCAGGAGCUGUGCUCUGGAGAAGAUGAGAGACCUGUAGAAGCCUGGUGCUGGGCACACUGCCCACACAUCAGGAACUCACUUCUAAGGAAGCCAUGCACAUCAUGAGCAUACCAGAAGAGAAGGAAAAACUCCUCGCUCUUCCAGAACGUGAUGGACCUGGCAGCUCCACUGAUCACAGCACAUUCGACAGUUGGGUCCAGUGUCCCCUAUGUCUGGAAGUUGGAGCAGACCCUCUCACACUCUGGGAGCCCACAUGGAAGCAGCUGUGCAGCACCUGUCUCCCUCCCUGCUUCUGUGGCACCCCCCGCAUGAGUGUUAUUGGUGGAACCCCGAGCACUGCUCCUCCCUACAGGAGUAAAGAUCCAAUUUAAAUUUUAAAAAGCUAUACUCCUUACUAAUAGUCCAAACACCAUUCCACUGGCAGUUUAAGCAAAUGCCAUGUGUGAGAUUUAUCGAAGAAACAGCAUUGCAAGCAUAUUUAUAUUGAAGGAAGCACUGAAGAAGACAGGAACAAUAAUUAAGAAAAAAAAAGAGUACUGGGGUUCAAGGCAUCCUGACAGAGCUCCUUGCCCUGUAAUUUCAUGUGGAUCCUUCCUGGGAGUGACUUCAGAUUCUGACUUCCUUUAUUCCUAAAAUCCCAAUUUGUCAAGUCACACUUCCUCUUUAAAUAAAAUACUGAUUUCGUUCAUAGUUUUAAAUUUUAAAUUUUUUACCCACAGGAAGAUGAGAAGUAUAACUUUUGUCCAGUAACUGACUAGCUUUGUACUUCUACGUCAAAGGUAUUUUUAGUGUUAUACCACCCCAGACGCUGUUCCAACAUUAAAAUGGUACUUAGGUUAAAUUGGGAAGACUGUGCCCUUUGACCAAAUGUGCUUUUGGCAUUAUUCCUAUGAAAAUUUAUAACAAUUUUAUGUGUAAAAGCAGAGGAAAUAAUAUAAUGAAUUACUAUAAAAUUAUCACUUUAAUUUUAGAAUAGUUAAUAUUUCAUCAUGUUUCAUCUAUGUUCCCCUUUGCUGAAGUAUUUUAAAACUAGUCCCAGACAUCAUGACACUUAACGUUUAAAUACAUCACUGUACAUCUCAAAAACAUAAGGAUAUUUUCUUAUAUAAUCAUAAUACUAUCAUCAUACCUAACAAAAUUAACAACAUAAUUCUUUUACAAUAUCUGAUACCCUAUCCACAUUCAAGUUUUCUAAAAUAUCCCUAAGAUGUGU
This is a long non-coding RNA of Cercocebus atys (sooty mangabey), 2117 nucleotides long. RefSeq lists it as uncharacterized. The record is from RefSeq and is a predicted model, not a curated record. NCBI's taxonomy places the organism in Eukaryota, Metazoa, Chordata, Mammalia, Primates, Cercopithecidae. The transcript has 10 exons.